UACGUAGGGUGCAAGCGUUAAUCGGAAUUACUGGGCGUAAAGCGUGCGCAGGCGGUUUUGUAAGUCUGACGUGAAAUCCCCGGGCUCAACCUGGGAAUUGCGUUGGAGACUGCAAGGCUAGAAUCUGGCAGAGGGGGGUAGAAUUCCACGUGUGAGCAGUGAAAUGCGUAGAGAUGUGGAGGAACACCGAUGGCGAAGGCAGCCCCCUGGGUCAAGAUUGACGCUCAUGCACGAAAGCGUGGGGAGCAAACAGG
Molecule: ribosomal RNA, 254 nt
Filed under: uncultured bacterium
Lineage: Bacteria
Description: partial 16S ribosomal RNA
Rfam family: Bacterial small subunit ribosomal RNA
Source: RNAcentral